UACGGGAGGCACCAGUAGGGAUUCUUCCCCAAUGGACGAAGUUCUGAUGGAGCAAUGCCGCGUGAGUGAAGAAGGGUUUCGGUUCGUAAAAUUCUGUUAUUAGGGAAGAACAUAUGUGUAAGUAUAGGUGCACAUCUUGACGGUACCUAAUCAGAAAGCCACGGCUAACUACGUGCCAGCAGCCGCGGUA
This 190-nucleotide ribosomal RNA is filed under the name uncultured bacterium. Its description in RNAcentral is "partial 16S ribosomal RNA". It matches the Rfam family "Bacterial small subunit ribosomal RNA", at positions 340 to 522 of the family's 1533-position model. The record is from RNAcentral.